Molecule: ribosomal RNA, 474 nt
Filed under: uncultured bacterium
Lineage: Bacteria
Description: partial 16S ribosomal RNA
Rfam family: Bacterial small subunit ribosomal RNA
Source: RNAcentral
GAUAAACGCUGGCGGCGUGCCUAACACAUGCAAGUCGAACGGGUUAUGUAGCAAUACAUAACUAGUGGCGAACGGGUGAGUAAUGCAUAGGUAACCUGCCCUUAAGUCUGGGAUAACCUUGGGAAACUAAGAUUAAUACCGGAUAUGCUCACGACCUCAUAUGAGGAUGUGAGGAAAGGUUUUUCGCUUAAGGAGGGGCUUAUGUCUGAUUAGCUUGUUGGUGGGGUAAUGGCCUACCAAGGCGACGAUCAGUAGCCGGCCUGAGAGGGUGUACGGCCACACUGGGACUGAGACACGGCCCAGACUCCUACGGGAGGCAGCAGUGGGGAAUAUUGCGCAAUGGGCGAAAGCCUGACGCAGCGACGCCGCGUGAGUGAAGAAGUCUUUCGGGAUGUAAUGCUCUGUCAAGAGGAACGAUAAUGACGGUACCUCGAGAGGAAGCCCCGGCUAACUACGUGCCAGCCGCCGCGGUAA